GAUGAACGCUGGCGGCGUGCCUAAUACAUGCAAGUCGAGCGAACGGACGAGAAGCUUGCUUCUCUGAUGUUAGCGGCGGACGGGUGAGUAACACGUGGAUAACCUACCUAUAAGACUGGGAUAACUUCGGGAAACCGGAGCUAAUACCGGAUGAUAUUUUGAACCGCAUGGUUCAAAAGUGAAAGACGGUCUUGCUGUCACUUAUAGAUGGAUCCGCGCUGCAUUAGCUAGUUGGUAAGGUAACGGCUUACCAAGGCAACGAUGCAUGGCCGACCUGAGAGGGUGAUCGGCCACACUGGAACUGAGACACGGUCCAGACUCCUACGGGAGGCAGCAGUAGGGAAUCUUCCGCAAUGGGCGAAAGCCUGACGGAGCAACGCCGCGUGAGUGAUGAGGGUCUUCGGAUCGUGAAACUCUGUUAUUAGGGAAGAACAUAUGUGUAAGUAACUGUGCACAUCUUGACGGUACCUAAUCAGAAAGCCACGGCUAACUACGUGCCAGCAGCCGCGGUAAUACGUAGGUGGCAAGCGUUAUCCGGAAUUAUUGGGCGUAAAGCGCGCGUAGGCGGUUUUUUAAGUCUGAUGUGAAAGCCCACGGCUCAACCGUGGAGGGUCAUUGGAAACUGGAAAACUUGAGUGCAGAAGAGGAAAGUGGAAUUCCAUGUGUAGCGGUGAAAUGCGCAGAGAUAUGGAGGAACACCAGUGGCGAAGGCGACUUUCUGGUCUGUAACUGACGCUGAUGUGCGAAAGCGUGGGGAUCAAACAGGAUUAGAUACCCUGGUAGUCCACGCCGUAAACGAUGAGUGCUAAGUGUUAGGGGGUUUCCGCCCCUUAGUGCUGCAGCUAACGCAUUAAGCACUCCGCCUGGGGAGUACGACCGCAAGGUUGAAACUCAAAGGAAUUGACGGGGACCCGCACAAGCGGUGGAGCAUGUGGCUUAAUUCGAAGCAACGCGAAGAACCUUACCAAAUCUUGACAUCCUUUGACAACUCUAGAGAUAGAGCCUUCCCCUUCGGGGGACAAAGUGACAGGUGGUGCAUGGUUGUCGUCAGCUCGUGUCGUGAGAUGUUGGGUUAAGUCCCGCAACGAGCGCAACCCUUAAGCUUAGUUGCCAUCAUUAAGUUGGGCACUCUAAGUUGACUGCCGGUGACAAACCGGAGGAAGGUGGGGAUGACGUCAAAUCAUCAUGCCCCUUAUGGUUUGGGCUACACACGUGCUACAAUGGACAAUACAAAGAGCAGCGAAACCGCGAGGUCAAGCAAAUCCCAUAAAGUUGUUCUCAGUCCGGAUUGUAGUCUGCAACUCGACUACAUGAAGCUGGAAUCGCUAGUAAUCGUAGAUCAGCAUGCUACGGUGAAUACGUUCCCGGGUCU
RNAcentral lists this ribosomal RNA (1372 nucleotides) under uncultured bacterium. RNAcentral describes it as "bacterial SSU rRNA". It matches the Rfam family "Bacterial small subunit ribosomal RNA", at positions 28 to 1381 of the family's 1533-position model. The record is from RNAcentral.